UACAGAGGUCUCAAGCGUUUGUUCGGAUUCAUUGGGCGUAAAGGGUGCGUAGGCGGCGCGGUAAGUCGGGUGUGAAAUCUUGGAGCUUAACUCCGAAACUGCAUUCGAUACUGCCGUGCUUGAGGACUGGAGAGGAGACUGGAAUUUACGGUGUAGCGGUGAAAUGCGUAGAUAUCGUAAGGAAGACCAGUGGCGAAGGCGGGUCUCUGGACAGUUCCUGACGCUGAGGCACGAAGGUCAGGGGAGCAAACGGG
Molecule: ribosomal RNA, 254 nt
Filed under: uncultured bacterium
Lineage: Bacteria
Description: partial 16S ribosomal RNA
Rfam family: Bacterial small subunit ribosomal RNA
Source: RNAcentral